UACGUAGGCAGCGAGCGUUGUUCGGAGUUACUGGGCGUAAAGCGUGCGCAGGCGGUCUUGCAAGACAGAUGUGAAAUCCCCGGGCUCAACCUGGGAACUGCAUUUGUGACUGCAAGGCUGGAGUGCGGCAGAGGGGGAUGGAAUUCCGCGUGUAGCAGUGAAAUGCGUAGAUAUGCGGAGGAACACCGAUGGCGAAGGCAAUCCCCUGGGCCUGCACUGACGCUCAUGCACGAAAGCGUGGGGAGCAAACGGG
Molecule: ribosomal RNA, 253 nt
Filed under: uncultured bacterium
Lineage: Bacteria
Description: partial 16S ribosomal RNA
Rfam family: Bacterial small subunit ribosomal RNA
Source: RNAcentral